CUUGGUCAUUUAGAGGAAGUAAAAGUCGUAACAAGGUCUCCGUAGGUGAACCUGCGGAGGGAUCAUUAUUGAGUGGUCUUUGACCUUCUACCCCUCAAACCUGUGGAAGCUAAAAACGUGCUUCGGGGCCUUUUUUGGGCGCCGCUUUUAUGCAUAAAUCCGUGUGUCGUCUGGAUCAUACACAAGAAUCAAAACUUUCAACAAAGGAUCUCUUGGCUCUCGCAUCGAUGAAGAACGCAGCGAAGCGCGAAAUGUAGUGUGAAUCGCAGAACAUUGUGAAUCAUCGAAUCUUUGAACGCACAUUGCGCCUCCCUUAACAGGGAGGCAUGCCUGUCUGAGUCUCAUUUAAUCUAUAAACCCGAUUGGGUUUGUGCCUGGGCGUUCGCUUGACCGGCGUCGCCUCAAAGUCAUCUGUCUUAUGAGCGGACGAGAUCCUUUUGGACUGACCGUUUGUGGGACCCUAAAUCUCUGAUUUGAGCUCAGAUCAGGUAGGACUACCGCCUGAACUUAAGCAUAUCAAUAAGCGGAGGA
This 531-nucleotide ribosomal RNA is filed under the name uncultured Ascomycota. RNAcentral's name for it is "eukaryotic LSU rRNA". The stretch from base 193 to 344 matches the Rfam family "5.8S ribosomal RNA". The record is from RNAcentral. Lineage: Eukaryota; Fungi; Ascomycota.